This is a long non-coding RNA of Seriola dumerili (greater amberjack), 157 nucleotides long. RefSeq lists it as uncharacterized. The transcript has 3 exons. The record is from RefSeq and is a predicted model, not a curated record. NCBI's taxonomy places the organism in Eukaryota, Metazoa, Chordata, Actinopteri, Carangiformes, Carangidae.
CCCAGAGUGAAGACUCAGCUACUUGAGCCAAGAGAAACCAAAGCAGUGCAGAAAGAGACAAAAGCCUGGCCUCGGCCUCCACCAAAUGUACGACCAGAGGAAACCACCUCUGUGAAACCUGUAGCCACUCGUCAGUCCACAGCCAGGAAGAGAUCCA